This 403-nucleotide ribosomal RNA is filed under the name uncultured bacterium. Its description in RNAcentral is "partial 16S ribosomal RNA". It matches the Rfam family "Bacterial small subunit ribosomal RNA", at positions 30 to 526 of the family's 1533-position model. The record is from RNAcentral.
AUUGAACGCUGGCGGCAGGCAUAACACAUGCAAGUCGAGCGAGCGGCGGACGGGUGAGUAAUGUAUGGGGACUGCCCGAUAGAGGGGGAUAACUACUGGAAAAGGUGGCUAAUACCGAAUACUAUCGGAUAACCCAUAUGGGAUUAGCUAGUAGGUGGGGUAAAGGCUCAAUGAGGCGCCGAUCUCUAGCUGGUCUGAGAGGAUGAUCAGCCACCAUGGUACGUAGCCACGGCCCAGACUCCUACGGAUGCAGCAGUGGGGAAUAUUGUACAAGGGGCGCAAGCCUGAUGCAGCCAUGCCUCUUGUAUGAAGAAGGCCUUAGGGUUGUAAAGUACUUGCAGAGGGGAGGCGUUACCCGCAGAAGAAGCACCGGCUAACUCCGUGCCAGCAGCCGCGAUAAUAC